AGCAGCCGCGGUAAUUCCAGCUCCAAUAGCGUAUAUUAAAGUUGUUGCAGUUAAAAAGCUCGUAGUUGAAUUUCGGGGUCUAUCCAUUGGUCGGGCUUUAUUGUCCGUACUGGUGUGAUGGGUUCCUACCUUCUGAAUAACCGGCAUGCCAUUCAUUUGGUGCGUCGGGGAAGCAGAGCUAUUACCUUGAAAAAAUUAGAGUGCUUAAAGCAGGCUAGUGCUUGAAUAGAUUAGCAUGGAAUAAUAAAAUAGGACGGCAUGGUCCUAUUUUGUUGGUUUCUAGGAUCACCGUAAUGAUUAAUAGGGAUAGUUGGGGGCAUUAGUAUUCAAUUGUCAGAGGUGAAAUUCUUGGAUUUAUUGAAGACUAACUUCUGCGAAAGCAUUUGCCAAGGAUGUUUUCAUUAAUCAAGAACGAAAGUUAGGGGAUCGAAGACGAUCAGAUACCGUCGUAGUCUUAACCAUAAACUAUGCCGACUAGGGAUCGGACGAAGUUAAUUUUUAAUAGUACUCGUUCGGCGCC
RNAcentral lists this ribosomal RNA (520 nucleotides) under uncultured Acaulospora. RNAcentral describes it as "SSU rRNA". It matches the Rfam family "Eukaryotic small subunit ribosomal RNA", at positions 569 to 1087 of the family's 1831-position model. Lineage: Eukaryota; Fungi; Glomeromycota; Glomeromycetes; Diversisporales; Acaulosporaceae. The record is from RNAcentral.